GGUCGAGUGGUGUAGUGGUCAUCACGUUCCGCUCACAGAUAUCUCUCUGUAGAACCGGAAAGGUCCCGAGUUCAAACCUCGGUUCGACCU
This 90-nucleotide transfer RNA is filed under the name Fusarium pseudograminearum. RNAcentral describes it as "tRNA-Val". It matches the Rfam family "tRNA". From Rfam's summary of the family: Transfer RNA (tRNA) molecules are approximately 80 nucleotides in length. Lineage: Eukaryota; Fungi; Ascomycota; Sordariomycetes; Hypocreales; Nectriaceae. The record is from RNAcentral.